RNAcentral lists this ribosomal RNA (663 nucleotides) under uncultured fungus. RNAcentral describes it as "SSU rRNA". It matches the Rfam family "Eukaryotic small subunit ribosomal RNA", at positions 410 to 1076 of the family's 1831-position model. The record is from RNAcentral. Lineage: Eukaryota; Fungi.
CCACAUCCAAGGAAGGCAGCAGGCGCGCAAAUUACCCAAUCCCGACACGGGGAGGUAGUGACAAUAAAUAACAAUAUAGGGCUCUUUCGGGUCUUAUAAUUGGAAUGAGUACAAUUUAAAUCCCUUAACGAGGAACAAUUGGAGGGCAAGUCUGGUGCCAGCAGCCGCGGUAAUUCCAGCUCCAAUAGCGUAUAUUAAAGUUGUUGCAGUUAAAAAGCUCGUAGUUGAACUUCAGACCUGGUCGGGCGGUCCGCUUAACGGCGUGUACUGUCUGACUGGGCCUUACCUCUUGGUGAGCCGGCGUGCCCUUUAUUGGUGUGCGUCGGGGAACCAGGACUUUUACCUUGAGAAAAUUAGAGUGUUCAAAGCAGGCUUAUGCUCGAAUACAUUAGCAUGGAAUAAUAAAAUAGGACGUGCGGUUCUAUUUUGUUGGUUUCUAGAAUCGCCGUAAUGAUUAAUAGGGAUGGUUGGGGGCAUUGGUAUUGAGUCGCUAGAGGUGAAAUUCUUGGAUUGACUCAAGACCAACUACUGCGAAAGCAUUUGCCAAGGAUGUUUUCAUUAAUCAAGAACGAAGGUUAGGGGAUCGAAAACGAUCAGAUACCGUUGUAGUCUUAACAGUAAACUAUGCCGACUAGGGAUCGGGCGACCUCAAAUAAAAUGUAU